GUGGUGUCUUAUCAUCAUUUUUUGGUGCCGGUGGUGUGGGAGAUUGCGGUGUUCAAGCAUGGGGUUUAGGUGAUGGUGGUGAAGCCUGGGGUUUAGGUGAUGGUGGGGGAGUUGGUUUUGAUGGUGGCGGGGAUGGUGGUUGUGGCAUUAUUGGUGAUGGUGGUGGUGGGGAUUAUGGAUGCAAGAUUGGAGAGGUUGGUGGAGUGGGAAGAGAUGUGGGAUGGGACGACUCCUGAGUCUGCGGCACUUCUCGGGGUGAUGGUUCUGGU
This 269-nucleotide long non-coding RNA is filed under the name Sorghum bicolor (sorghum). RNAcentral's name for it is "long non-coding RNA (SBIC_LNC017987)". The record is from RNAcentral. Lineage: Eukaryota; Viridiplantae; Streptophyta; Magnoliopsida; Poales; Poaceae.